RNAcentral lists this transfer RNA (72 nucleotides) under Camelus bactrianus (Bactrian camel). It matches the Rfam family "tRNA". Rfam says of the family: Transfer RNA (tRNA) molecules are approximately 80 nucleotides in length. Their secondary structure includes four short double-helical elements and three loops (D, anti-codon, and T loops). Lineage: Eukaryota; Metazoa; Chordata; Mammalia; Artiodactyla; Camelidae. The record is from Rfam by way of RNAcentral. RNAcentral also lists the same sequence under 2 other names.
GAGGGUGUAGCUCAGUGAUAAAGUGCAUGCUUAACACACAUGGGGUCCUGGGUUCAAUCCCCAGUACCUCCA